Molecule: unclassified non-coding RNA, 240 nt
Filed under: Oryza sativa (Asian cultivated rice)
Lineage: Eukaryota; Viridiplantae; Streptophyta; Magnoliopsida; Poales; Poaceae
Description: partial microRNA MIR487e precursor
Source: RNAcentral
AGAGAAACAAGUGGGUCCUGUAUUAAUUGUGAAGAGCUAACUAUUAUAUGGAUAGGCUAAGAUAAGGCUAUAAAGAACCUUAUAGCCAGCAGGUCGGCUGUAUUAUUAGCCUUGCUCUAAGAGCAAGUUUAAUAGUAUAGUCCACUACUAGAUCCAAAUCAUUUAUAGCUAAUGUAAUAGCCAAUUCAUACAAUAGUUAUUUACUAUACUAUUAAUAUCUGGUCCCACUUGUCAUACACA